RNAcentral lists this ribosomal RNA (253 nucleotides) under uncultured bacterium. RNAcentral's name for it is "partial 16S ribosomal RNA". It matches the Rfam family "Bacterial small subunit ribosomal RNA", at positions 524 to 776 of the family's 1533-position model. The record is from RNAcentral.
GACAGAGGUGGCGAGCGUUGUUCGGAUUUACUGGGCGUAAAGCGCGGGUAGGCGGUUCGGCAAGUCAGAUGUGAAAUCCCACCGCUUAACGGUGGAACGGCGUCUGAUACUGCCGAACUUGAGUGCAGGAGAGGAGAGUGGAAUUUCCGGUGUAGCGGUGAAAUGCGUAGAGAUCGGAAGGAACACCAGUGGCGAAGGCGGCUCUCUGGACUGCAACUGACGCUGAGACGCGAAAGCGUGGGGAGCAAACAGG